Molecule: ribosomal RNA, 404 nt
Filed under: uncultured bacterium
Lineage: Bacteria
Description: bacterial SSU rRNA
Rfam family: Bacterial small subunit ribosomal RNA
Source: RNAcentral
UGAGGAAUUUUGGACAAUGGGGGCAACCCUGAUCCAGCAAUACCACGUGAGUGAAGAAAGCCUUCGGGUUGUAAAGCUCUUUUAAUGGGAAAGAUUAUGACGGUACCCAUAGAAUAAGCACCGGCUAACUCUGUGCCAGCAGCCGCGGUAAGACAGAGGGUGCAAGCGUUGUUCGGAUUUACUGGGCGUAAAGGGCGCGUAGGCGUAUUUGUAAGUCAGUUGUGAAAGACCGGGGCUCAACCCCGGAACUGCAGCCGAUACUGCAAGUAUAGAGAUAGUAAGAGGAAAGCGGAAUUCCUAGUGUAGAGGUAAAAUUCACAGAUAUUAGGAGGAACACCAAAGGCGAAGGCAGCUUUCUGGGACAUAUCUGACGUUAAAGCGCGAAAGUGUGGGUAGCAAACAGG